CCAGUGCACACGUUAACCAUUCUGAUGAUGCUUUCUUUCAUGUUUGCAUCCUGGUGUCCUGGUAUUCAACAAUGUCAUCAGGGCCGGCCCAACUACAUGGGCAAGUUGGGCUUAGGCCCAGGGCAUCAAAAAAAUGGGGGCAUAUUUUUUAUGCAGCAAGUCAUAAUAUAUCUAUGUAAUUUUGGCCCAAAAAUUAAACCCAAUUACUCCAAUAGUCCAAUCCAAUAAUAAUCAACCUUAGGGGCAUUACCGAUUCAACGAUUCUUGACCUUGAGCGCCAAGUUGAGUAGCGCAAUCGUCAGUUGAAGCAGUCGGGAGAUCUAGGAGACGGUCGUCGGUCGACCAAUGUUCAAAUGGAUUCAACGUAUUUGUUGUUUGGGCAUCGCCGAUUUAGCCGAUUCUCAUUCCUUCCUCUUAAUUUCUUAUUCAGUAUUCUUCUCAAUUUCUUAUUCAAUCAAUCAUUCUCUAAAACUUAUAGCCUAUACGUUCAAUCAAUCUUUCAACAUCUGAUUUUUGAUUUCUAAUUACCGAGUUCGACAACAAACGAAGGGCGGAAGGGAACCAAGAAAUCAAACACAACCCGUGACUGGAGACACAAUUGACUGUGAUUUCUAUUCUUCAUUCUCAUAAACUCGAAUUUUGGACUUGGAAAUUGGAAAUUUCUAUUGUUUUCAAAUCGAAAAUGAAGUGAACAACAGUUUCUGAAUUCUCUUUUUAGUUCUCAUCUUCUGCUCUUCAACUGAUUAGGGACUUGGGACUUGGGAGGCUGAUUUUUGUUUAUUUUGAAAUCUUGAAAUCUACUGCUUUGUAUUUUAGUAUCUUGAAAGAUUAUCGGCAUCUUUAAAGUGGGAAAUAAAAACGAAAACUUUGGCCA
RNA transcript from Lactuca sativa (garden lettuce), 874 nucleotides. RefSeq lists it as uncharacterized. The record is from RefSeq and is a predicted model, not a curated record. NCBI's taxonomy places the organism in Eukaryota, Viridiplantae, Streptophyta, Magnoliopsida, Asterales, Asteraceae.